This 254-nucleotide ribosomal RNA is filed under the name uncultured bacterium. RNAcentral's name for it is "partial 16S ribosomal RNA". It matches the Rfam family "Bacterial small subunit ribosomal RNA", at positions 524 to 776 of the family's 1533-position model. The record is from RNAcentral.
UACGGGGGGAGCAAGCGUUGUUCGGAUUUACUGGGCGUAAAGGGCGCGUAGGCGGCCAGCACAAGUCAGUUGUGAAAUCUCCGAGCUUAACUCGGAAAGGUCAACUGAUACUGUGCGGCUAGAGUGCGGAAGGGGCAACUGGAAUUCUUGGUGUAGCGGUGAAAUGCGUAGAUAUCAAGAGGAACACCUGCGGCGAAGGCGGGUUGCUGGGCCGACACUGACGCUGAGGCGCGAAAGCCAGGGGAGCAAACGGG